UCCCUGAUGGCUGAGUGGGUAAAGAAUCUGCCUGCAAUGCAGGAGACAUAGGAGACAGGGGUUCAAUUCCUGUGCCGGGAA
This 81-nucleotide transfer RNA is filed under the name Ovis aries (sheep). It matches the Rfam family "tRNA". From Rfam's summary of the family: Transfer RNA (tRNA) molecules are approximately 80 nucleotides in length. The record is from Rfam by way of RNAcentral. Lineage: Eukaryota; Metazoa; Chordata; Mammalia; Artiodactyla; Bovidae.